Molecule: long non-coding RNA, 1600 nt
Organism: Pungitius pungitius (ninespine stickleback)
Lineage: Eukaryota; Metazoa; Chordata; Actinopteri; Perciformes; Gasterosteidae
Exons: 4
Source: RefSeq, a predicted model, not a curated record
AACUUUUCAGUUCAAGAUUUUUUUGCCUCGACUGAACAAAACGAGAAGCUGGGCGAAACGGCCGCCAACCCUGGCCGGUUCACCCAGCCAAAUUGACGUGGCAAUAAAAAGGGAGGGUCUUCCAAAAACAAGCACCAGGAGGGUGAGAAGCAGGAGGAGGGUCAUGACAGACUUUCAAAGAACAAGGUUGUCGUGAAAAAGAAAAAUGUUUCUAAAUACGAGACAGGAGGAGGAGGAGGAGAAAGUGGAUGAUGAGGCGCGUCAUGACACAAAGAACAAGGUACACUACCAGUCUGCAUUCAGUGUGUGUUAUUAACUAAGCUAUAGAGAUUUUUAUGUUUGGAUAGUUAGUGGUAAUAUGUAAUUUACUUGCCCCACAUGCAUAAAAUUGUUGAAAAGAUGUUUUUCUUCUCUAACAAGACUGCGGCAACAACUAAAAACUCAGCGAAACCACAGGUGGGAAGCCAACCAGAGGGGACGGGGAGCAGCUGGUUGCCCUGGAUAAAAUUAAAAAGGCAGCCAUUAUUGGUGAGUAAAUGCAUAAAGUGUUGAGAAGGGAAAACAAAACUUUUAAGACUUUAUAAGUUCACCACUUUAACCAUAGCCUACUUGUAUCAAUGUAUAUUAGGCAUCAAUGGAGACUGGAUAAGGGUAGGGCACCCAUUAUUGUUACUGUAUCUGCUUAGCACCUAUAAUACUAAUUCAUUGCUUGCUCACUUUUUGAUCCCACCUUUCCUUUUCUAAAGCCACAUUUCUGGGGUAUUGCCCUCAAUGUGCUGUAAGGUGUGUAGUCCUCUAUUUUGUAGAACAUAUAUUGUUGCAAAUAACCUCAUGGCAUAUUGUUGUUGUCUGAAGUGUUCAUAAAUAAUAUUCACCCCUCCUUCACCCUUAAUCCCCUCUGUCCUGCCUUAUUUUGUCUAUGCCGGUAAUUGAUUUGCUUGAUUUUAAUGCAUACCUUCUUCGAGUGUGUGUGUGUGUGUGUGUGUGUGUGUGUGUGUGUGUGUGUGUGUGUGUGUGUGUGUGUGUGUGUGUGUGUGUGUGUGUGUGAAACAAAAGGUCUUGUUUGCUCAAAGCCCAGCCCAGAGAACACGGAAUGUGUUUAAAAAGUCAGGAUUUGUUAAUUCAGAACAGAUGGCUGAAUGCCAUUCGCUCAUUAUUGUUACAAUAUUAUUAUAUUGUCUAAUUAUUUUUGUCUUCUCUAGAUGCUACAUUGAAGAAAUGGCCGGCAGCCAGCCGAGGGCAGAUAGGAACAGCUAUAAAUUCCAAGCUCGCAGAGAUGCGAAGAUCCAUGAAAUGUUUUUUUUUUUUUUUUUUGUCAUUUUUGUACAUUUUGAUAGUCCUUAAAUAAAUAAUGUAAAUUUCCACAUUUUGGGCUUUUAUUUUUGUUUCCUAGUUUGGAUUUUAAUAAUUUUACUUAUAGGUGGACAUAUGUGCAUAUAUGUACCUAUAUAGGUACAUUUAUGCAUGUAUAUAUAUGUGUACAUGUAUGCGUGCAUAUAUGUGGGCUUAUAUGUGGCGCAUGUAUGCGUGCAUAUAUGUGGGCAUAUAUGUGGCACAUGUAUGCGUGCAUAUAUGUGGGCAUUUAUGUGGGCAUAUAUGU